UACAGAGGGGGCAAGCGUUAUUCGGAAUUAUUGGGCGUAAAGGGCGCGUAGGCGGCAUGGCAGGUGGAAGGUGAAAUCCCUCGGCUUAACCGAGGAACUGCCCUCCAAACUGCUUUGCUUGAGGCCGGGAGAGGUGAGUGGAAUUCCCAGUGUAGCGGUGAAAUGCGUAGAUAUUGGGAGGAACACCGGUGGCGAAGGCGGAUCUCUGGGCCAUUACUGACGCUGAGGAGCGAAAGCGUGGGGAGCGAACAGG
RNAcentral lists this ribosomal RNA (253 nucleotides) under uncultured bacterium. RNAcentral describes it as "partial 16S ribosomal RNA". It matches the Rfam family "Bacterial small subunit ribosomal RNA", at positions 524 to 776 of the family's 1533-position model. The record is from RNAcentral.